GAUGAACGCUGGCGACGUGCUUAACACAUGCAAGUCGAACGGAAAGGCCUCUUUCGGGGGGUACUCGAGUGGCGAACGGGUGAGUAACACGUGAGUAACCUGCCCUUGACUUUGGGAUAACUUCAGGAAACUGGGGCUAAUACCGGAUAGGAGCUCCUGCUGCAUGGUGGGGGUUGGAAAGUUUCGGCGGUUGGGGAUGGACUCGCGGCUUAUCAGCUUGUUGGGGGGGUAGUGGCUUACCAAGGCUUUGACGGGUAGCCGGCCUGAGAGGGUGACCGGCCACAUUGGGACUGAGAUACGGCCCAGACUCCUACGGGAGGCAGCAGUGGGGAAUAUUGCACAAUGGGUGGAAGCCUGAUGCAGCAACGCCGUGUGCGGGAUGACGGCCUUCGGGUUGUAAACCGCUUUCGCUCAUGACGAAGCUUUGUGUGACGGUAGUGGGUAAAGAAGCACCGGCUAACUACGUG
Molecule: ribosomal RNA, 467 nt
Filed under: uncultured bacterium
Lineage: Bacteria
Description: partial 16S ribosomal RNA
Rfam family: Bacterial small subunit ribosomal RNA
Source: RNAcentral